Molecule: ribosomal RNA, 423 nt
Filed under: uncultured bacterium
Lineage: Bacteria
Description: bacterial SSU rRNA
Rfam family: Bacterial small subunit ribosomal RNA
Source: RNAcentral
UAAGGAAUAUUGGUCAAUGGACGCAAGUCUGAACCAGCCAUGCCGCGUGGAGGAUGAAGGUCCUCUGGAUUGUAAACUUCUUUUAUUUGGGAAGAAACCCAUAGUUUCUACUGUGGUUGACGGUACCAGAUGAAUAAGCACUGGCUAACUCCGUGCCAGCAGCCGCGGUAAUACGGAGGGUGCAAGCGUUAUCCGGAUUCACUGGGUUUAAAGGGUGCGUAGGUGGGCAGGUAAGUCAGUGGUGAAAUCCCCAAGCUUAACUUGGGAACUGCCAUUGAUACUAUUUGUCUUGAAUACCGUGGAGGUGAGCGGAAUAUGUCAUGUAGCGGUGAAAUGCUUAGAUAUGACAUAGAACACCAAUUGCGAAGGCAGCUUGCUACGCGGAUAUUGACACUGAUGCACGAAAGCGUGGGGAUCAAACAG